Molecule: microRNA, 23 nt
Filed under: Daphnia pulex (common water flea)
Lineage: Eukaryota; Metazoa; Arthropoda; Branchiopoda; Diplostraca; Daphniidae
Also listed under: 1 other name
Description: Dpu-Mir-133_5p* (star (passenger))
Source: RNAcentral
AGCUGGCUGAAUCCGGGCCAAAU